Schistocerca piceifrons (Central American locust) is the source of this 276-nucleotide long non-coding RNA. RefSeq lists it as uncharacterized. The record is from RefSeq and is a predicted model, not a curated record. The transcript has 2 exons. Lineage: Eukaryota; Metazoa; Arthropoda; Insecta; Orthoptera; Acrididae.
UCCGUUUAAAUCAGGAUUCAGGCAACCUGGUUUUAAAGAAUUGACAAUAACAGGAGAGACCUAAAAAUACUCAAGGAUGCAAAGAAAGGCCGCCUUCAUGGUGUCGCAAUUUUAGUGACCAGCAGAGUAAAACCACAAAUACUUCACUACCAGGAAGAACAUUUUUCACCUUAUUCAUGUAAAUUAUCCAUCUGUAGUUAUUACUCAACUAUUUAUUUAGCUAUCGAAAUAUUUUCCUAUCCAAAAGGUACAGACAAAAUACAUUUUCGAAACAAA